GUUGAAUGCUUAUCUCUCUUCAUGUAACACACUCUGGCUGUUUGUUCAUUCAAAGCCGUGAUUAAAUGAGAGCCAGACGAUCUCAUUUAGCGUCUCUGUGAAGUCAGUCCAAACAAAUCUCAUCGUGAAUUAGGCAGAAAUAAUACGCUGAGUGAAGGAGACAACCCAAAAGAGAGAUAUUCAGUUCUGGGAGCUCCCUUUUAAAAGUAGGUAUUUUUUUAUACAGACAGGUGUGGAGGAUGACUGGGGCGCUGGUUGCUGUUGGUCAGAUACAGAAGCUGCUAGAAGCACAAGAUUCACUGGCCCUCCCACAAAACCUGAUGGCCCCAGCCCACGGCCUGUUUCUGACCCAUGUACAGUACAGAGAUACAGGUAAGAAAUGUUCACAAUAUCGCUAUACUCAUUAUAUGUGUAUGUAAAUUGUAAAUGUACAAUCACAGCACACUACA
Molecule: long non-coding RNA, 449 nt
Organism: Cyprinus carpio (common carp)
Lineage: Eukaryota; Metazoa; Chordata; Actinopteri; Cypriniformes; Cyprinidae
Exons: 3
Source: RefSeq, a predicted model, not a curated record